CCCUUAGAUGUCCUGGGCCGCACGCGCGUUGCACUGAUGCAUUCAACGAGCUUAUAACCUUGGCCGAGAGGCCCGGGCAAUCUUGUUAACGUGCAUCGUGAUAGGGAUAGAUUAUUGAAAUUAUUAAUCUUGAACGAGGAAUUCCUAGUAAACGCAGAUCAUCAAUCUGCAUUGAUUACGUCCCUGCCCUUUGUACACACCGCCCGUCGCACCUACCGAUUGGAUGGUCCGGUGAAGCCUCGGGAUUGUGGUUCUUGCCGCUUUAUUGUGGCGUGACCGCGAGAACUUGUCUAAACCUUAUCAUCUAGAGGAAGGUGAAGUCGUAACA
RNAcentral lists this ribosomal RNA (328 nucleotides) under uncultured eukaryote. RNAcentral's name for it is "partial 18S ribosomal RNA". It matches the Rfam family "Eukaryotic small subunit ribosomal RNA", at positions 1470 to 1796 of the family's 1831-position model. The record is from RNAcentral.